CCUACGGGUGGCAGCAGUGGGGAAUAUUGCACAAUGGGGGAUACCCUGAUGCAGCAAAGCAGCGUGAGUGAUGACUGCCUUCGGGUUGGAAAGCUCCGUCUUCAGGGGCGUUAAUGACGGUACGUGAGGAGGAAGCCACGGCUAACUACGUGCCGGCGGCCGCGGUAAUACGUGGGUGGCGAGCGUUGUCCGGAUUUACUGGGCGUAAAGGGAGCGUAGGCGGACUUUUAAGUGAGAUGUGGAAUACUCGGGCUCAACCUGAGUGCUUCAUUUCAUACUGGAAGUCUAGAGUGCAGGAGAGGAGAAUGGAAUUCCUAGUGUAGCGGUGAAAUGCGUAGAGAUUAGGAAGAACACCAGUGGCGAAGGCGAUUCUCUGGACUGUAACUGACGCUGAGGCUCGAAAGCGUGGGGAGCAAACAGGAUUAGAUACCCCUGUAGUC
RNAcentral lists this ribosomal RNA (440 nucleotides) under uncultured bacterium. Its description in RNAcentral is "partial 16S ribosomal RNA". It matches the Rfam family "Bacterial small subunit ribosomal RNA", at positions 338 to 795 of the family's 1533-position model. The record is from RNAcentral.